Molecule: ribosomal RNA, 501 nt
Filed under: uncultured bacterium
Lineage: Bacteria
Description: partial 16S ribosomal RNA
Rfam family: Bacterial small subunit ribosomal RNA
Source: RNAcentral
AUUGAACGCUGGCGGCAUGCCUUACACAUGCAAGUCGAACGGCAGCACGGGUGCUUGCACCUGGUGGCGAGUGGCGAACGGGUGAGUAAUACAUCGGAACGUACCUUAUCGUGGGGGAUAACGCAGCGAAAGCUGUGCUAAUACCGCAUACGCCCUGAGGGGGAAAGCGGGGGAUCGCAAGACCUCGCGCGAUUAGAGCGGCCGAUGCCUGAUUAGCUAGUUGGUGGGGUAAAAGCCCACCAAGGCGACGAUCAGUAACUGGUCUGAGAGGACGAUCAGCCAAACGGGGACUGAGACACGGCCCAGACUCCUACGGGAGGCAGCAGUGGGGAAUUUUGGACAAUGGGGGCAACCCUGAUCCAGCAAUGCCGCGUGAGUGAAGAAGGCCUUCGGGUUGUAAAGCUCUUUUGUCAGGGAAGAAACACCGGCUCUAACACAGUCCGGGAAUGACGGUACCUGAAGAAUAAGCACCGGCUAACUACGUGCCAGCCGCCGCCGUAA